Molecule: long non-coding RNA, 1894 nt
Organism: Setaria italica (foxtail millet)
Lineage: Eukaryota; Viridiplantae; Streptophyta; Magnoliopsida; Poales; Poaceae
Exons: 2
Source: RefSeq, a predicted model, not a curated record
UACUAGUUGGUUACAGGGAAGAGUCCUAGUAGGAUUACAGAGGAAUCCUAGUAGGAGUCGGUCUUCUUCCUUUCUUGCGGGUACAUGGGAUCUAUUCCCGACGUGGGGUUCCCAUGGAUGACAACUCAGCAUGGGCUAUAAUAGGGGUCAUGCUCACAUCUAGAAUCAUGUACUAGGCUAUUUCCCUUUGUAUUCUAGAUAAUGAACUUUGUAUUCAGAUCUGAACUUUGUAUCCUGCUUUGACUAUGCAUGCAUUGGACAUGUUGUUGUGAUGAAUAAUUGUUUUUAUUUACAUAUACCUGAGGCAUCGGACAAAUUGUUGUGAUGGUUAAUUGGUUUUAUUUACAAAUACAUGAGGCAUUGUACAUUAUGCUGUGAUGAUAAUUGCUUUUAUUUACAUAUACCUGAGGCAUUGGACAUUAUGCUACGAUGAUUAAUUGCUUUUAUUUAUAUAUACCUGAGGCAAUGGGCAUUAUGCAAUGAUGAGUACUUUAUGCAUUAGAAGAUGGCACAAGAGAAUGUUUACUUUGACUUGGUUGAGGAGCUUGAGGCUGCCGAAGCUGCUGCCCAAGCUGCUAUCCAGCAUGCUGCUGGUGGCUAGGUUGUUGGUGCCGCUGGUAGCUAGGCUGCUGGUGGUGAUGGGUAGCAGCCUAGGGCUACAAUAAGGUGGACCAAUAUGAUGUCAGGAUUUGUGCUACGCCGCAUGUGCCAGCUGAUCUCCAUUGGAGUAAGAACGGACAAAGGUUUCAAAGAGGUGCACUUGAACAAAGUGGCCAAGGAUCUGCAUGAGUUUUCAGGCAAUGAGGUGACUGGCACCCAGGUUUACAACCAUCUGCGCAAGUGGAGGCAGAAAUGGAUCAGGGUGACUAAGCUUAGAGAACUUAGUGGUGCUUUGUAGGAUGAUGAUAACUUCAUGAUCACUUUGGAGGAGGAGUACUACUAAGGGCAUAUCAAGCACACCCCAAGGAUGCUGACUUAUUGAACAAGCCUAUUGAGAAUUACCAACAGAUGUAGAUCAUAUUUGGCAAUGGGUUGGCUACAGGCAAGUUUGCCAUGGGUCUGGUGAGGCUUUCGGUUCCCCUCUGACUUUGCUAAGAGCUCACUUAAGGUUGAGUCAGAUGCUAUGAAGGUUGAUGAUGUCCCUAAGCUGUUUGGAGAGGUACCCAAAGACUCAGGAUGCUGGUGCUGGGUCUGGUUCUGAUGCAGGCAACAAGAGGAAGAGAUGCAUGCUUAGUGAGAGGGACAUUGUUGUCAUGAUUGGCAUGACUGAUGCAGUGAACAAUGUUGCAAAUGCCAUUCUCCAUACCAAGGUUGAGGAUGUCCACCCUGAGCUGUAUGGUGAUGUCAUGUUCAUGCCUGGGUUCAUUGAGGAAGCAUUGAUGGCAGCCUAUUCUCACCUUCUUGACAACAAGGCUCAUGGUGCUGCAUUUGUGAAGAUGAAUGACUCUCACCGUGUGGUGUGGAUAAGGGUCUACUUGGCCAAGCACUACUAGGUGAUGGUCUAGUGCUGGUUGAUCCAACUUUUGUGCAAUGGGGUAGCUCCUCUCCUGGUGGCUUAUUUUGUGCAGUUACUGGCCUGUUGGUGCCUUCUCCUAGUGCAAUGAGGAUGAUAGGCUGAUGGUAGCUUCUUUUGAGCAUAGCACCUCCUGACUUGUGCAGUUAAUCUAAUCAUGCACUCACUUGUGCAGCUGAUCUAAUCCUGCAUUCUUUUGCGCAGCUAACUUGCUCCUCUCAUUUACUAACUAUUGCUUAUAGUUAGUAAUUGACUAUACAUGGCACUAUAGCUGCUUCUGUAUAAUCUACUGAACCUAGACUUGUAACUGAGGCGCAUGAGACACUUUCAUGGAUCAACCUUGAUGAUAGAUGUAAUAUCAUGACAAUCUAGUCAUGCAAC